UCUUUUCUUCAAAGAAAGCUGCUGCAGAGAUCCUCGCUGAAAUCUCCUUUGCCUGACUUAAGAAGAGAAGAUUAAUGCUACUAAUUUCAGUUAUGUGAAAACUGUGAGCUGAUAAAGGACCUGUAUGCUUUUUAAAGCAAAUAUUAAUAGCAGAAAGAGGAAUAUUCCUAUGCUGUGGUGGGAAUAAUUGUGAUAUCCAGUUUAACAAAAGUUGUAAGACAGUUGGAUUCUUUACGAACUGGAUUAGAGAAAUGCAAAAUACUAAUACCAAGCACUUUAACCAUAGGCUGCAUAUAAAUCCACAAUAACAGAUUAUUUUAUCCUUUUGUGGAGAUAUGAUGACUGCAUUACCACGUUUAAAGUUUCUCUCUGUCUAGCUCUCCUAAAUAUGAAGAGUCUCAAGCAUCUUUUUAAUAGGAGAAAAAGCUGUUAUUUACAAGCGAGUUUUCUCACAGGCUCUUCAAAACUCUCCCCAGCAUUUCAGUAUUUUUAAAAUGGUAACAGGCAGAAAUGGAUAUGAAAUUCCAGUACUUAUCUUACCUACUCUAUACGUGUAAGUAAAGUCUUAUCUAUUUGUCUACUACCUAGUUUCUUGUUUAUUUACCUGUGACUUGUGUUAAACCCUUGGUUAUAACAUCACAAGAUGCCCAGUUAUUCACCACCAACUGCAAAUAUUGGAAUGGUUUUACCAGGGUACAGUCCCCAUGUUCUGCCUGUAUGAGUUGAGCUUCUGUUUUUUGUAAGGAGAUUUUUUGACCUUGAUGUGAAAUUUAGCGUGUGGUUAUGUCUACCAAGUAUUUGAAGAAUUUUCUAUUUCAGUUUCCAGUUUUUACGUUGUAAGAGUGGCUAAUAUAAAGAUGUUGACUAAGAUGGUGGUAAAUAGUCAAAGGUUAUUAGCAAAGGGAAAGUCACCAAUGUCAAUGCCUUGACUGGAAAGCUGAGGCAGUCUCAACUGGGGAGCAACCUCCAAGAGAUGCUGCCUCAGUGGUGGUUAGCCCUUAAUUGAGGUCUCAGAGGAGGUGGAGUUGAAGUCCACCCCCUCCGGGAGCACAGCUAGAUUACUCUCACCUGUGCUCCUGCAGCUGACCCAACACUCGCC
Molecule: long non-coding RNA, 1099 nt
Filed under: Coturnix japonica (Japanese quail)
Lineage: Eukaryota; Metazoa; Chordata; Aves; Galliformes; Phasianidae
Description: lncRNA (ENSCJPG00005017566.1)
Source: RNAcentral